UGGAACAAGGUGAGAAGUUUCUGUAUGGGUCACCGAUCAGGUUCACAUGUUUUGAAAAGCUAUUUCAAGUAAUAUUAGGCUCCGAAAAAAACCCUAGAGUGUAUUGCUAGCAUUAGUACAGGCACGGGGUUGUGCAAGCUUUGUUUGUGGCUGUCAACGAGCACUGAGGGAGCUUUUUAUUACCAAAACGAUGUGAUCAAAUUGCUGGUGAAAUGAGAAUUUUACAAAAGCUGCAGUGGUUUUAAAGCAAUUUUAGUAAAAAUACUGCUUACCUUUCAACCUCUUUGAUGGGUUUUGCUGCUUAAAGAAGUUGGUGGAAGCCAGGGAAGCAGUCAGACCUCGUGCACGCCCUUUUGCAAGGCUGCCUUGGGGCCUGAGAGCUUCACCACCCUCUUGAGGCAUAGCUUUCCUCCAGACAAGGGAGCAUCUCAGCUGCAGAGCAGUUUGGGGCUGCCUGUGUUGCUCUGGGCUGCUCCUCACUCAGCCGUGAGCACGUGAGCUCCAGAGUGGAUACCUUCUGGAGAAUAGGAGAAUUGCUUUGAUCACUUCAUUUUCUCAAUAUAGAAGCUAAAUGAAACAAAGAAGGCAAACAAGCUCUUGCAUGCAAAGUGGUAUAUGCUGUCUAACCAGGUCCCAGGAGGGUCCCAGGCCAGGCAAAAUCUGUAAGUCUGGGGGGUUUGGGAUUUCUUUUUUCUUACGCCAAAGAGUUGUCCUGUAUUUCAAAAAGUGUCAUUACAUUUCUCCCCUGAAGGGUUAUCAUUGUUAUUAGAAUGAAAAUGAACCUGUGGGUGUGACUGUUUUUUGUCUUCCUGAUCCUAUUUUGCAUCUAAACAAAUAAUCUAAUCACUGGUAAAUAAGAGAACGGAUCUUGAGGGGCAGGAAGAGAGAAAGGAAGCUCUUGAUCUAUGCAACACUGAGCCCGAAUGAGCCAAACCAGACCCAUGACCAGCACACUCAUGGGAGGUGCUUGUAUGGCCUUAAGAAUUCCCAGCUGGUUGCUUUAAUACUCCCGUAAAACAUAUUUUUUUGCAAAUUAAGCCUUCAUGUGAAAAGGUAAUGUAGGGCUCAAGCUGCAUCCCACGGACUGGAGUAUUUCUGCAGGGGUGAUGUAGAAGCAACACCUACUUUGGAAAAAUUCAACAACCGACUACCUGUAAUUUGGGGACCAAAUUACUGCGGUGAAGAGGCAUUGGAGAGCUACAGCUUAAGAAACCAAAAUGAGCACAGUGUAGAAGGAGAGCGCUUUGAGAUGGUGUUUCCAGCUGGUGCAUAACCUUGCCAGCAGGAUGAAAGCUGCCUUCCCCAAAUUAAAGCUGCCUUUUCCAAAUUAAAGCUGCCUAAGGAGCGCAGGAGCGAAACUCACUGUCAUGGUAAGAAAACUGAUCAGAUGGUUCAUUGCCCUGGUUCAUGGAAAUGAUCCUUGAGGGCUGUUUGCAAAAGCUGUGUGGUGACAAGUGCUCCCACCUGAAGAAAAAGGACCACCAGAGCCCUGGAGCAUGCUGCCCAGAAUGCCAGAGGGUGGGAGCUCAGGAUCACAGCCGGUCUCCAGGGAGAAAAAGCUUUGCCUUCCGCCGCCCCGUCCUGGAGGGAAGAUGCUGCAAUUAAAGCUGUCCCUCGAGGCAGGCAGAGGCUGCUCCUUUACAUCUGAUGGCUUGGGUGGAACCUGGGGCUACAGGAGGAAAAAGAAAGAAAGGACUUGCAGUGCCUGAGCUGCUUUUUGGGAACCUCCAUGGACACACAGCCAAGAAAAUCCCAUGAGCUCAAGCAAUGCCUACGGGAUCUCCAGGGGAAAGUGCGGUAGUCAGUCAUCCAUUGUUUUGUAGGGGUUUGCUAAGAAGAUUUUUAUUCCCCUCUUCUAGGUGAGAAGACUAGAGCUUGUGAGAGGGAGGGUGUGGGCAUGUUCACUGACUGCCCGUGGUGGGGAGAGCCGACCUGGCUGUGUGGCUCAGCAGAGGUGGGCAAGAUGGACAAAAUACAGAUUGUUAGAGGUCUAAAAAAGUGAAGGAAAAAGGAAUCCAGUAACAGGAAUAAGGGAGCAUCAAACAAAAGGGGAAGAUGUGCAGGAGAAAAGUGCUUUUGUGUCACUCCAAGGGCACAGCGGGUGCCAGGCAUAUCUGGCACCGUGCCCUCUCUGCCCUCGGGUGCUCCUCUUCUGGCACAGCACCAGCUUCCAAGUCACAUUUCAGAAUGUCUCAGUGGUCCGGGGUUUCUGAUCCAUGUGUUGUCAAUGCUCGGGAGGGCAACCGCUGGGCUCCAUGGGCACGCGGUAGCCAGGCUGCGUCUUUUUAGUGGUGGAACUGGGACCAGAGCUGAGCCCUCUUGGUUACCUCUGGUCUAUGUACUCGCCGUGGUUGUGAAUCUCAAAUUCCAGGUUGUAAUGAGAUUUUCAGAACAAAAAGUGGUAUUAAAGAAAAAUUAAUGAAUGUCAAAAUCCAUGUAACCCCCUUCCCCUCCCCCAGUUCCUUUUACUCAUGUGCCACAUGACACCCGCAGGGUUGUAAUUUCCAGUUCCAUCUUCUCUGGCUGACCACAGAUAUGAAUUCAUUCACAUAGCAAGGAAGGAAUUAAGUGUUAAUUUAACAAAAAGAAAAGGAUACUAAGGAAUUAGAUUAGAUUCUUAAAUUAAAUAUAAACCUGUAAAAGGGCUUUUUGAGUGUUCCCCGCCUGCCUCCUUGAUAAUUCUCUGCAGUAAUAAAACAAAAUGGUAUCAAUUGUCUGGCAAAAUGCUGAGGCACAAUCUGUAGGCAGUAGGACGGAAAUGCACGGAUCCUUAUAGUGUCAUUUUUCUUGAAGAAACUUGGAAAUUUUGAUUUGUCUCCUUGCUUGCGCUGCAGUUGGUGCACCCGGACAGAGCGGCUCAGCCUCGGAGCAGCUGAAACUGCUGGCAGGAAUAGGUGGGUUCAAGGCAUGGCCGGGGCUGAGCAUCAUCCUCCACCAUCUGCAAGGGCUAUACUUAGCAAGGUAUUGAGGCUUGUGGAUCAAAUUUUAAAUAGGGCUUUAAAAGCACUUUCUCUAACGAGCAUCCGAUCGUGCUUCAUAAUUAAAGCUCGCAGUGCAGCCGGCUGUGCCUGCAGAGGAGGAGGCAGACCCUCCGCACUGCUACUCGCUUCUCUCUUAUUUUCCUGGAUGGCAGAGGAGGCUUCAGAGACCUGUCACAACGGAGAUAAGGACAGCAGCAAAUUAGGAUUUAGGAAUUUCUUCUGGGACUUUUUCUAGGCAAAAAGAGGUUUUUAAUUGGUUUUCAGUUCUGCGGCAGCCAAAGGUCUUUAAUGAGGUUUUACAUUGUUCUCCAGAAUCGUGCUCCUUUUCUACGUUUAGCUAACCAUGAUUUGGGUAUCUUUAAACAGAUAAAAACGUGCUAUUUGUCUUUGUUACAAAAAAAUCAAGGUAUUGGGUGAUUUCAUGUAGAUGCUAAAUAGCAAAUGAAUUGUUGAAACUUAAGGCUUCUAAAGACAGUGUUUUAGUCUAAUGCUGCUAUAUUUACCUUAUCUGAUAAAUGUAGUAUUAAAGGCUUGAUAACUUAAUUUGCAAUUAUUUUAUGUUUUCUUUGCAUUAUUUA
This is a long non-coding RNA of Cuculus canorus (common cuckoo), 3559 nucleotides long. RefSeq lists it as uncharacterized. Lineage: Eukaryota; Metazoa; Chordata; Aves; Cuculiformes; Cuculidae. The record is from RefSeq and is a predicted model, not a curated record. The transcript is spliced from 3 exons.